ACUCCCCCUAGAGCCAUUGCAGAUAUGGCUGCUAUGUCACAUGUGCAUUAGUCGGUGGCAGAAAGGAGAGAGGCUAUGCCUACAGAGGCUGUCCUGACCUGUAGACAUACUCAUCUGAAUGAUGAGUAACCUAAUGUU
Molecule: small nucleolar RNA, 138 nt
Organism: Mastomys coucha (southern multimammate mouse)
Lineage: Eukaryota; Metazoa; Chordata; Mammalia; Rodentia; Muridae
Product: small nucleolar RNA SNORA17
Exons: 1
Source: RefSeq, a predicted model, not a curated record